Cucumis melo (muskmelon) is the source of this 942-nucleotide long non-coding RNA. RefSeq lists it as uncharacterized. NCBI's taxonomy places the organism in Eukaryota, Viridiplantae, Streptophyta, Magnoliopsida, Cucurbitales, Cucurbitaceae. The record is from RefSeq and is a predicted model, not a curated record. The transcript has 4 exons.
AAUUUUGCCCUUGAUGAGAUAUCCCUUCUCCUUAAUCUAAAACACAAUGUAAAAAAAAAAAAAAAAAACCAUUUGGCUCUUGCUCUCCUGCCCGUGAAUCCCUUCUCCUUCAACACAACGGUGAACGUUUGAAUAAUCCUCUCCUCCAGUGAACGUCUGCAACAACAACGGUCCCACAACCCGAUUCUAAGUAUGGAGAAUAGCGGGUCAACACUAGUGGUGGUCUUGGAUCGAGUUCGUGAGGAGAUCAUCGAGGAAUUGGGAAGCUACGAGGGCUUCUGUUCUGACAUCGUCAUUGACUAACACACCCAUGUACAAGAUUAAGCUGUCCCAUCAUUUCCAGGCUCUACUUGUGGCCGUGUGGUAUUGUUAUGGUUGAAGAUAUAAGUAUCACAAAUGUGCAACAAAGUUACGGUUGAGAGAAGAAGGGUUUUCUCGAAAAAGCAUUGGCGGUGAUAUGUUCAGAUUUGUGGAAGUUUCAGUGUGUCCCUUCUUUUACCUAUGAGUUACGAUACUGUACACCAAAGAUAAGAGAUAAAUCAACACUUCAAGAAGGCUUGAUGAUCUGAUUGCUCAUGAAUAUUGAUUUAGGGGGAGUGCUCAUAUUACAUAUUAUGACAGUUGUUCUUAUACAAUAAAUAAUACUGAUAGUUGAGUUAGUUCAUGGACAACACGUUGAUCUAUGUAGAGUGCUAUACCCUAGGUCAACAAUGUAAUCAUUAAUUAUUACAUGAGCCAUAUAAUCUCUUAUCAUGGGUCUAUGACCCCCUAGAUGUAGAUGUUGUGUCAUCGAACUGGGUUACCAAAGUUUGAUGUGUUCACUAUGCUUUUAUGUGUUUCCAUAGUUAUACUCUGUGUUAUUAUAACUUACGAUACAACAAACAAUAUAUCUAUCACUAAGUGUAUAUUUUCUCAUUAUGAUUUAGUGACUAAUCUUGUAUA